GCAUGCUCUCCGGCUAUGAAGUCUGGACAGCCUACCACUGACUUUGUCUCGCUUCCCUCGCUGUAGAACGCUGACAACCUGAUUCGUAGAAGCAACCCCUGCGCAGUCAGUGUGUAGCAGCGAUCGGCAUCCUUUCCUUCUUGGUCUCAGUAAUACGAAAAGAGAGCACCUGCUGGAAAAAGCACGUCAGACAUAAACAGCAAUGCGAGCAAACUUAUCACGCUUUGUUCGACAAAACAGCCAAAAAAGUGACCUUCGCUGUUUCCUUGCUCGGCUUCAGCUUAUUCUCCUGAGCACUUCCAUUGGUGCUUUAUUAUUAUUACCUCUCUUGGGCACACAGCAUCUUGAUGCUUACGCCCCCGUGAGCAGUCUACGACUUGAUUCGAGUAUCCUCCAGCUUUAAAACUUGACAGUUAUCUAGGAAGCCAGAAGCAGAUGAAUAGGAUGUGUUUCCUUUUACUUCAAAGGCAAAGCAGGCGACAACACGCCAUAUACAUAAAUGGACCAACGUGCCAUUUGCUCUUUUCGUAUUUUGUUUCAGCCUCUCAUUCACCUAUGCAUGUGAAUGAGCUAAGCUCUUGGGGAGAACCAUGUACAGACGUAGGUGACUUUGUUUUGUCACUGUGAGUGUGGGGUCGAAAAGUACGCUGGAAACGGUAGGUAAGUGCCAGAACUGUGUCUCAUCCUGCACAAAAACUGACAUGCGCCUCUUUACAGUUCCUUACUGCUGAAAAACAAAGGCGUCGUGCAAGUGUACUGUUCAUCAGCAUGUGUAGGCGAAAGCGAAACUACAUGAUGCCCCUUCUUUUCUUCGUUGUUGUUCAUGUCAUACGGCUUCUCUGCCGGGUGUGAUUUGUGAUUCACCAG
Molecule: unclassified non-coding RNA, 867 nt
Filed under: Leishmania donovani
Lineage: Eukaryota; Euglenozoa; Kinetoplastea; Trypanosomatida; Trypanosomatidae
Description: gene:unknown
Source: RNAcentral